UGGGGAAUAUUGCACAAUGGGCGAAAGCCUGAUGCAGCAACGCCGCGUGAGUGAUGAAGGCCUUCGGGUUGUAAAGCUCUGUCUUUUGGGACGAUAAUGACGGUACCAAAGGAGGAAGCCACGGCUAACUACGUGCCAGCAGCCGCGGUAAUACGUAGGUGGCAAGCGUUGUCCGGAUUUACUGGGCGUAAAGGAUGCGUAGGCGGAUUUUUAAGUGAGAUGUGAAAACCCUAAGCUUAACUUGGGGACUGCAUUUCAUACUGGAAAAUCUAGAGUGCGGGAGAGGAGAAUGGAAUUCCUAGUGUAGCGGUGAAAUGCGUAGAGAUUAGGAAGAACACCAGUGGCGAAGGCGAUUCUCUGGACCGUAACUGACGCUGAGGCAUGAAAAGCGUGGGUAGCAAAACAGGAUUAGAUACCCUGGUAGUCCACGCCGUAAACGAUGAGUACUAGGUGUAGGAGGUAUCGACCCCUUCUGUGCCGCAGUUAACACAAUAAGUACUCCGCCUGGGAAGUACGAUCGCAAGAUU
RNAcentral lists this ribosomal RNA (527 nucleotides) under uncultured bacterium. RNAcentral's name for it is "partial 16S ribosomal RNA". It matches the Rfam family "Bacterial small subunit ribosomal RNA", at positions 355 to 895 of the family's 1533-position model. The record is from RNAcentral.